AGACAGAUGUUUUUGGUUUUUGUUUUCCCUUGAAUUGUAUUAUUUUGGGUAUUUGUUUAACUUUUUCUAAAAAAGUUCCAAUGACAAGGCCACUGCCGAUAAAGAUCUAAACAGUUUAACCUGGGAACUAACUUGCAGUUAACCAUUAUCAGAUCAAUCGAUGUGAUUUCGUUUGGCAGGGCCCCCUAAUUGCCUUGAAAAACCGAUUUUACAAGCUUUUAAUCAUAAUCAUAAUCCUUUUUUAUUUAAUAUUUUGCUAUCAAUGAAUUGAGCAACCCAACCUUAUAUAUUUUAAGCUUCAGUUAAAUUAAGAAUAACUUUCUGGGCACCCAAUAUAUAUUUCAUGCAUAUAUUCCAUCCCCCCACGUUAAUUUAAACACCGAUUAACAUCCACUCAUUUGAAUAAUUUUGUAUUUGUAUAUUUGCAAUUAAAUGACUAUUAAAUAUCUUUA
This is a long non-coding RNA of Drosophila biarmipes, 452 nucleotides long. RefSeq lists it as uncharacterized. The transcript is spliced from 2 exons. Lineage: Eukaryota; Metazoa; Arthropoda; Insecta; Diptera; Drosophilidae. The record is from RefSeq and is a predicted model, not a curated record.